This 253-nucleotide ribosomal RNA is filed under the name uncultured bacterium. Its description in RNAcentral is "partial 16S ribosomal RNA". It matches the Rfam family "Bacterial small subunit ribosomal RNA", at positions 524 to 776 of the family's 1533-position model. The record is from RNAcentral.
UACGGGGGGGGCAAGCGUUGUUCGGAAUUACUGGGCGUAAAGGGUUUGUAGGUGGCUUGCUAAGUCAGACGUGAAAUCCCUCAGCUUAACUGGGGAACUGCGUCUGAUACUGGCAAGCUUGAGUGCAGGAGAGGAACGCGGAAUUCCAGGUGUAGCGGUGAAAUGCGUAGAUAUCUGGAGGAACACCGGUGGCGAAGGCGGCGUUCUGGACUGUAACUGACACUGAUGAACGAAAGCCAGGGGAGCAAACGGG